CUCAGCAGGUUGGAGAAUGUCUCUUCCAAGCAGUUUGUCUAGUGUGUCUCCUCAGCAGUCUUCACUGCGUAUAUAAGCUUAGGGAGAAAGGUACAUUGUAUAUCUGGUCAGUUUCAGGUAUUUCUGGAGACUCAUGUGCUGUUUACUUCCCAGGUCCUAAUGAACCUCCCUUUAAAACUUCCUAAGUCUUAAGGAGCUUUGCUCCAGGAUGGAAUGUUCUAAUACAGAGGAAAUCACUACACAACACAGCCCCUCUGGCCUGUCUCUUUCCUGGCAUUUGUCUGGCUGUCCUAGUGUGGACAGACAGAUCCUCGAGGACUUGAAUAGUUUGCUGCAUUUGUCUCCAGCCCCAGCUCAUGGUAAAUGCUGACUCAGUGAACAUCUGCCUUCAAUAUUUUCCCCAAGAUCUACUCAUCUGAACCUUCACCCUUGCAGAUGUGACAGCCUUCACCCUUGCAGGUGUGACAGCCAUCACCCUUGCAGGUGCACAGCCUUCACCCUUGCAGGUGUGACAGCCUUUAGGGUCCACCGCAGCACCUCUCAAGCUUAUGAUGGUUGAUGCAAGUUGUGGUUUGAUGACUCCUGAGUGAUGAGGCUCUGUGUUGUAGAAUGUUGUACAGUGUGAGCUCUGACCAAUAAAUGGAAGGAGCUCAACUACAUCUUCCACAAGGUGUAACAAAUAAAAUGUCCUUAUGCAUUGUCCCGUCUCCCAACCCUGAGUAAACCCUCAGAGAUUCCUGAAAGGACUCUCAAGACAGUCUGAACAUCUUUUAAAAACUGUCAACAGCUUGUGAAUCAGGAAAAAUGUCUGAUUCAGACCCCAUUGUCCAGAGAAGUGUGAGGUAGGAGCAGAGCGUAUUCUCUACUCCUCUAACUUCUCUCUGGCCUCUGGCUCCAAGGUGCCUUUCUGCUCUCUGCAGAUUGUUUUGCCACCUGUGGGUCUGAGAUUUACCUUCUGUAAACAAGGACUCUGGCUCUCUCACAGCAUCUCCAGCCCCACAGUGUGCCCUCCCUUUGCCCAGGACCCAGACGCCCCCACCAUGAUGUUGAUGAGCCUGUUCCAGGCAGGUGAGCUUGGGAACAGGGAUUUAGACUGAGUCAAUCUCCCCAGGACAUGGCUUCUGACAUGGAAUCUAUGAUUCCCCAUCAAAAUAUGAGAAACAGCAGCCAUUCAGUACCUUGAGCCCCACUGAUAAUUCUAUCCCAUGUUUCUAUUUCGUACUGUAUCUAUCUCUGGCAACUGAUUCAUACAAGGAUUGAUAGGAUAAGACUUCAGUGGCCACAAUUACACUGACCCAGGGCAAAUUCCACCUUCACUCCAUGGAUAUCAGUUUCACAGGAGAUAAUCAUCUUUCAGGCAGGGGAAAAAAAGCUUGAAAUGGAACUACUAUAGCAG
This 1396-nucleotide long non-coding RNA is filed under the name Cricetulus griseus (Chinese hamster). RNAcentral's name for it is "lncRNA (ENSCGRG00015042179.1)". Lineage: Eukaryota; Metazoa; Chordata; Mammalia; Rodentia; Cricetidae. The record is from RNAcentral.